RNAcentral lists this ribosomal RNA (383 nucleotides) under uncultured bacterium. RNAcentral describes it as "bacterial SSU rRNA". It matches the Rfam family "Bacterial small subunit ribosomal RNA", at positions 8 to 405 of the family's 1533-position model. The record is from RNAcentral.
AGAGUUUGAUCCUGGCUCAGAAUCAACGCUGGCGGCGUGCCUAACACAUGCAAGUCGAACGAGAAAGGGGAGCAAUCCCUGAGUACAGUGGCGCACGGGUGAGUAACACGUGACUAACCUACCCUGGAGUGGGGAAUAACUGAGGGAAACCUUAGCUAAUACCGCAUAAUACCUACGGGUCAAAGGAGCAAUUCGCUUCAGGAGGGGGUCGCGGCCGAUUAGCUAGUUGGCGGGGUAAUGGCCCACCAAGGCAAUGAUCGGUAUCCGGCCUGAGAGGGCGCACGGACACACUGGAACUGAAACACGGUCCAGACUCCUACGGGAGGCAGCAGUGGGGAAUUUUGCGCAAUGGGGGAAACCCUGACGCAGCAACGCCGCGUGGA